This 506-nucleotide ribosomal RNA is filed under the name uncultured bacterium. RNAcentral describes it as "partial 16S ribosomal RNA". It matches the Rfam family "Bacterial small subunit ribosomal RNA", at positions 29 to 523 of the family's 1533-position model. The record is from RNAcentral.
AGUGAACGCUGGCGGUAGGCCUAACACAUGCAAGUGGAACGGCAGCACAGGAGAGCUUGCUCUCUGGGUGGCGAGUGGCGGACGGGUGAGGAAUACAUCGGAAUCUACUCUGUCGUGGGGGAUAACGUAGGGAGACUUACGCUAAUACCGCAUACGACCUACGGGUGGAAGCAGGGGACCUUCGGGCCUUGCGCGAUUGAAUGAGCCGAUGUCGGAUUAGCUAGUUGGCGGGGUAAAGGCCCACCAAGGCGACGAUCCGUAGCUGGUCUGAGAGGAUGAUCAGCCACACUGGAACCGAGACACGGUCCAGACUCCUACGGGAGGCAGCAGUGGGGAAUAUUGGACAAUGGGCGCAAGCCUGAUCCAGCCAUACCGCGUGGGUGAAGAAGGCCUUCGGGUUGUAAAGCCCUUUUGUUGGGAAAGAAAUCCAGCUGGUCAAUACCCGGUUGGGAUGACGGUACCCAAAGAAUAAGCACCGGCUAACUUCGUGCCAGCAGCCGCGGUAA